AAAUUGAGAGUUUGAUCCUGGCUCAGGAUGAACGCUGGCGGCGUGCCUAAUACAUGCAAGUCGAACGCUUUGUGGUUCAACUGAUUUGAAGAGCUUGCUCAGAUAUGACGAUGGACAUUGCAAAGAGUGGCGAACGGGUGAGUAACACGUGGGAAACCUACCUCUUAGCAGGGGAUAACAUUUGGAAACAGAUGCUAAUACCGUAUAACAAUGACAACCGCAUGGUUGUUAUUUAAAAGAUGGUUCUGCUAUCACUAAGAGAUGGUCCCGCGGUGCAUUAGCUAGUUGGUAAGGUAAUGGCUUACCAAGGCGAUGAUGCAUAGCCGAGUUGAGAGACUGAUCGGCCACAAUGGGACUGAGACACGGCCCAUACUCCUACGGGAGGCAGCAGUAGGGAAUCUUCCACAAUGGGCGAAAGCCUGAUGGAGCAACGCCGCGUGUGUGAUGAAGGGUUUCGGCUCGUAAAACACUGUUGUAAGAGAAGAAUGACAUUGAGAGUAACUGUUCAAUGUGUGACGGUAUCUUACCAGAAAGGAACGGCUAAAUACGUGCCAGCAGCCGCGGUAAUACGUAUGUUCCAAGCGUUAUCCGGAUUUAUUGGGCGUAAAGCGAGCGCAGACGGUUAUUUAAGUCUGAAGUGAAAGCCCUCAGCUCAACUGAGGAAUUGCUUUGGAAACUGGAUGACUUGAGUGCAGUAGAGGAAAGUGGAACUCCAUGUGUAGCGGUGAAAUGCGUAGAUAUAUGGAAGAACACCAGUGGCGAAGGCGGCUUUCUGGACUGUAACUGACGUUGAGGCUCGAAAGUGUGGGUAGCAAACAGGAUUAGAUACCCUGGUAGUCCACACCGUAAACGAUGAGUGCUAGGUGUUUGAGGGUUUCCGCCCUUAAGUGCCGCAGCUAACGCAUUAAGCACUCCGCCUGGGGAGUACGACCGCAAGGUUGAAACUCAAAGGAAUUGACGGGGACCCGCACAAGCGGUGGAGCAUGUGGUUUAAUUCGAAGCAACGCGAAGAACCUUACCAGGUCUUGACAUCCCUUGACAACUCCAGAGAUGGAGUGUUCCCUUCGGGGACAAGGUGACAGGUGGUGCAUGGUUGUCGUCAGCUCGUGUCGUGAGAUGUUGGGUUAAGUCCCGCAACGAGCGCAACCCUUAUUACUAGUUGCCAGCAUUCAGUUGGGCACUCUAGUGAGACUGCCGGUGACAAACCGGAGGAAGGUGGGGAUGACGUCAAAUCAUCAUGCCCCUUAUGACCUGGGCUACACACGUGCUACAAUGGCGUAUACAACGAGUUGCCAACCCGCGAGGGUGAGCUAAUCUCUUAAAGUACGUCUCAGUUCGGAUUGUAGGCUGCAACUCGCCUACAUGAAGUCGGAAUCGCUAGUAAUCGCGGAUCAGCACGCCGCGGUGAAUACGUUCCCGGGUCUUGUACACACCGCCCGUCACACCAUGAGAGUUUGUAACACCCAAAGCCGGUGGGGUAACCUUCGGGAGCCAGCCGUCUAAGGUGGGACAGAUGAUUAGGGUGAAGUCGUAACAAGGUAGCCGUAGGAGAACCUGCGGCUGGAUCACCUCCUUUCUAAGGAA
Molecule: ribosomal RNA, 1584 nt
Filed under: Weissella confusa
Lineage: Bacteria; Bacillati; Bacillota; Bacilli; Lactobacillales; Lactobacillaceae
Description: bacterial SSU rRNA
Rfam family: Bacterial small subunit ribosomal RNA
Source: RNAcentral